GGCUCGAAAACUUUUAAAGAAAAUUCACCAAAGAUACCGCAAAUAAAAUAAUAUCUAUAGAAGCCGUUUUUGGAAUAUCAGGUAAGGUUGUUUAUAUUUUAUUCUGUUGAUAUUUCAUUGAUCUCAUAUCAAUACCGAGUCUAUAAAAUAAGAGCCAGAGUCGUCAGCCAGGUACGCUUCGUUCACACCUCUCAUACACAUUAUUCAUAUCAUUGAGACUUUAUUCUCUUCCACUGAGAAUCCUUCAAAAGGAACUGAGGUUCUUCCCUUAUAACACGCCUAACUUGAGCGUCGGAGUGCCUUUGCAGGUAUCCCUCUCUCGGUCAUAGUUCAGAGAUUGCCAGACAGUCGAGAUUGAAGGCGAACAGACGAUCAAAACGCAACAGAAACCACUGAUCCAGUCCAUCCGAACACCAGAAAUUAGCAGAGCCACAUCGUCAAGAUUAGUGUCUCGGUUUCCAAAAUUAUCUACCAAAACAAAAAGUAACCAAUAAAUACUAAUAAAGGAUAAAAAAAUUAGUUAUGGAAGGAUAAAAGAUGGCUUUAUGAAUCAUACUAGGACUUAAAAGAUUAAAUAUGUCUAAAAUUCAAAGAUCAAUCCUGUAUUAAAGUUUGAUGAUCAUAAAUGCAAAUAAUGGUUUGAAUUUAUAUUUCUUAUACUCAAUAAAAAAAAAAAACUUUUUUUAGCGAUAUAUUAUACUGGUUUAAAUUUAUCAGGUAUAAAUGUCACAUUCCAGUUUUUUUUAGUCCUUAAAGUAACAAAUAUUAAAAAAUUUUGUUAAAACCAUAAGAUAGUACUACAACAUGACAUUACCUCUAAUACACGAUAAUUGUCACAACAAUCCAUUUAACCAACUCCUCACCCCUUGGGUUUCAAUUCCAGAAAUCCCAUAUCACACUAUUGCAGUCAUAACUUAACCAUUUAGAAAAUCUUCACUAACCACUGCCAUCCAACAAUAUACCUUAACUCCUAGAGACCUUAAUCAGUCUAAACAUUGAUGAAUAUCUUCAUCACCACAAGCUAUACUUAUCAGGUCAAAUAGAGGUUAAUUUAACUUUAAACACAUUCCCAAGUAAACUAAACUCAAUAACAACAAUCCACAAUUACAUUCUCCAGAUUCUUUAUUCACUAAUACUUUAUUCAUAUCUUUUCAUUCAAUUGGGAUUUUACCUCUGACUCAAAAUCGUAAGCAAACAUAUAGGGUAUAAAUUUGUGAUGCCCAUUUCAGUUCAAUCUCAUCAAAUAUAAUAAUACCCAAAACAACUAACAAGACUAUAACAUCAUAUAAAUAUACCAUGUCUCGUUUACCCUUAGAAUUAUAACACCCUAUAAUUAUCAUGUUCGCUUGGUCAAUACAUACAUACAACCGAAAAGGUUUAUACUAGCCACGCAGAAGUAAAAAGAAUGCACAAUUAUCAUACCGCAAGCAUCUAAAAAAAACACACACCGAGUUAACUCCCUGUACUGAUUCAAUUUCACCCGUUACGACAACCCUCUACUCAAACUUCAUGUAUCUCGCUCCCCCGCUCCUGCAUUCACUCUCUGGCUCCCAAAACUUGUUUCCUCCGCUCAAAAGCCCAAAAUCCCCUAAAGGUUUGCCUCGAAACCUUCCGCGAAGUGCCCCUCCCCCUAUCGCCUUCGCGGGAUAACCUUUAAUCGCUUAAACUCCUUCUUCCAUACUCAGCUCUCACUCACCACCGAAUUUGCUCGUGUCGGAUUGAGGAUUGGAUGCUCUCCUUUCUCUCGCUUUCACGCUUCAAACCUCUCUUCCUCUCUUAACCUAGGAUUCAC
This 1792-nucleotide long non-coding RNA is filed under the name Vigna radiata. Its description in RNAcentral is "long non-coding RNA (VRAD_LNC005143)". Lineage: Eukaryota; Viridiplantae; Streptophyta; Magnoliopsida; Fabales; Fabaceae. The record is from RNAcentral.